This 402-nucleotide ribosomal RNA is filed under the name uncultured bacterium. Its description in RNAcentral is "bacterial SSU rRNA". It matches the Rfam family "Bacterial small subunit ribosomal RNA", at positions 355 to 774 of the family's 1533-position model. The record is from RNAcentral.
UGAGGAAUAUUGGACAAUGGGGGAAACCCUGAUCCAGCCAUGUCGCGUGAGUGAAGAAGGCCUUCGGGUUGUAAAGCUCUUUCAGAUGUGAAGAUGAUGACGGUAACAUCAGAAGAAGCCCCGGCUAACUUCGUGCCAGCAGCCGCGGUAAUACGAAGGGGGCUAGCGUUGUUCGGAAUUACUGGGCGUAAAGCGCAUGUAGGCGGUUUGUUAAGUUAGAGGUGAAAUCCUAGGGCUCAACCCUAGAAUUGCCUUUGAUACUGGCAAACUAGAGACCGAUAGAGGAAAGCGGAAUUUCCAGUGUAGGAGUGAAAUCCGUAGAUAUUGGAAGGAACACCAGUGGCGAAGGCGGCUUUCUGGAUCGGUUCUGACGCUGAGGUGCGAAAGCGUGGGUAGCAAACA